This 53-nucleotide transfer RNA is filed under the name Tarentola deserti. RNAcentral describes it as "partial tRNA-Cys". The record is from RNAcentral. Lineage: Eukaryota; Metazoa; Chordata; Lepidosauria; Squamata; Phyllodactylidae.
CCAAAAUGCAAGUUUGGAGGAGCACACAGGGUGUGCCGGGGCUUCUCCCGUUU